Molecule: non-coding RNA, 79 nt
Filed under: Palpitomonas bilix
Lineage: Eukaryota
Source: RNAcentral
UUUCUCCUUUUUCUCUCUUUUUUUUCUCUCUUUUUUUCCAACAGAAUUUAAAGAUGUAUUCUAAAAAAGAGAAAGCAGG